GCGAAACUGCGAAUGGCUCAUUAUAUAAGUUAUCGUUUAUUUGAUAGUACCUUACUACUUGGAUAACCGUGGUAAUUCUAGAGCUAAUACAUGCUGCCGACCCCGACUCCGGAAGGGCGUAUUUAUUAGAUCCAAAGCCAAGCCUCCUGGGCUCCUUGGUGAUUCAUGAUAACUCUUCGAAUCGCACGGCCUUGCGCCGGCGAUGGUUCAUUCAAAUUUCUUCCCUAUCAACUUUCGAUGUUUGGGUAUUGGCCAAACAUGGUCGCAACGGGUAACGGAGGGUUAGGGCUCGACCCCGGAGAAGGAGCCUGAGAGACGGCUACUACAUCCAAGGAAGGCAGCAGGCGCGCAAAUUACCCAAUCCCGACACGGGGAGGUAGUGACAAUAAAUACUGAUACAGGGCUCUUUAGGGUCUUGUAAUUGGAAUGAGUACAGUUUAAACCCCUUAGCGAGGAACAAUUGGAGGGCAAGUCUGGUGCCAGCAGCCGCGGUAAUUCCAGCUCCAAUAGCGUAUAUUAAAGUUGUUGUGGUUAAAAAGCUCGUAGUUGAACCUUGGGCCUGGCUGGCCGGUCCGCCUCACCGCGUGCACUGGUCCGGCCGGGCCUUUCCCUCUGCGGAACCCCAUGCCCUUCGCUGGGCGUGGCGGGGAGGCAGGACGUUUACUUUGAAAAAAUUAGAGUGCUCAAGGCAGGCCUAUGCUCGGAUACAUUAGCAUGGAAUAAUGAAACAGGACGCGCGGUUCCGUUUCUUGGCUCUAGGACCGCCGUAAUGAUCGAUAGGGACAGUCGGGGGCAUCAGUAUUCAGCUGUCAGAGGUGAAAUUCUUGGAUUUGCUGAAGACUAACUACUGCGAAAGCAUUUGCCAAGGAUGUUUUCAUUAAUCAGGAACGAAAGUUAGGGGAUCGAAGACGAUCAGAUACCGUCGUAGUCCUAACCAUAAACUAUGCCGACUAGGGAUCGGACGAUGUUGUCUCUUGACGCGUUCGGCACCUUGCGAGAAAUCAAAGUGCUUGGGCUCCAGGGGGAGUAUGGUCGCAAGGCUGAAACUUAAAGAAAUUGACGGAAGGGCACCACCAGGGGUGGACGCUGCGGCUUAAUUUGACUCAACACGGGGAAACUCACCAGGUCCAGACACAACGAGGAUUGACAGAUUGAGAGCUCUUUCUUGAUUUUGUGGGUGGUGGCGCAUGGCCGUUCUUAGUUGGUGGAGUGAUUUGUCUGCUUAAUUGCGAUAACGAACGAGACCUUGACCUGCUAACUAGCCGGCCCAGGCGGCGC
This 1278-nucleotide ribosomal RNA is filed under the name Gibellula pulchra. RNAcentral's name for it is "SSU rRNA". It matches the Rfam family "Eukaryotic small subunit ribosomal RNA", at positions 81 to 1374 of the family's 1831-position model. The record is from RNAcentral. Lineage: Eukaryota; Fungi; Ascomycota; Sordariomycetes; Hypocreales; Cordycipitaceae.